Molecule: ribosomal RNA, 468 nt
Filed under: uncultured bacterium
Lineage: Bacteria
Description: partial 16S ribosomal RNA
Rfam family: Bacterial small subunit ribosomal RNA
Source: RNAcentral
GACGAACGCUGGCGGCGUGCUUAACACAUGCAAGUCGAACGGAAAGACCCUGCUUUUGUGGGGUGCUCGAGUGGCGAACGGGUGAGUAACACGUGAGUAACCUGCCCUUGACUUUGGGAUAACUUCAGGAAACUGGGGCUAAUACCGGAUAGGAGCUCCUGCUGCAUGGUGGGGGUUGGAAAGUUUCGGCGGUUGGGGAUGGACUCGCGGCUUAUCAGCUUGUUGGUGGGGUAGUGGCUUACCAAGGCUUUGACGGGUAGCCGGCCUGAGAGGGUGACCGGACACAUUGGGACUGAGAUACGGCCCAGACUCCUACGGGAGGCAGCAGUGGGGAAUAUUGCACAAUGGGCGGAAGCCUGAUGCAGCAACGCCGCGUGCGGGAUGACGGCCUUCGGGUUGUAAACCGCUUUCGCCUGUGACGAAGCGUGAGUGACGGUAAUAGGUAAAGAAGCACCGGCUAACUACGUG